GUGAUAUGUGUAUAUAUGUAUUUAUUUAUUUCCAUUUUCCAUUGAAGAAACUAAGUGAGGUGACUAUUAAAACUCUUUCAAAUUGCAUCAUCAAUGAUAAUAUGCCACUUGUUUGGUGUAUAAUGGAGCUUACCUAAUCCUAAUGGCCAAUAGAUUGCUGGAUUAUUGGUCGUGGGACCUGUUCAUGGCCUAUGCUUUUUUGCCUAAAAGUGAUUUGUAAUUAGGUUUUCCGUAUGAUUAAUUAAUAUACCUUAUAAGGUUGCAAAGGCCAUCUACUUCAAAUAAAUACAAAAUUUGAAACUAAGUGAGGUGACUAUUAAAACUCUUUCAAAUUGCAUCAUCAAUGAUAAUAUGCCACUUGUUUGGUGUAUAAUGGAGCUUACCUAAUCCUAAUGGCCAAUAGAUUGCUGGAUUAUUGGUCGUGGGACCUGUUCAUGGCCUAUGCUUUUUUGCCUAAAAGUGAUUUGUAAUUAGGUUUUCCGUAUGAUUAAUUAAUAUACCUUAUAAGGUUGCAAAGGCCAUCUACUUCAAAUAAAUACAAAAUUUGUAUAGUACUGUUGAUCCCUAAUUUGAGUGACUGAUUGAAAGCGACAUAUUAUAUUUUUGCACUAAAUCAGAUUGUCGAGUAAUUUGUUAUGAUUUUAGUACGACUACAUGAAUUUUUUCUUGUCAAC
Molecule: long non-coding RNA, 674 nt
Filed under: Olea europaea (common olive)
Lineage: Eukaryota; Viridiplantae; Streptophyta; Magnoliopsida; Lamiales; Oleaceae
Description: long non-coding RNA (OEUR_LNC004057)
Source: RNAcentral